Molecule: ribosomal RNA, 1374 nt
Filed under: Triticum aestivum (bread wheat)
Lineage: Eukaryota; Viridiplantae; Streptophyta; Magnoliopsida; Poales; Poaceae
Description: partial small subunit ribosomal RNA
Source: RNAcentral
GCAGCUCAGCAGAGAACCGAGCACUAACAUUUAGCGACAUCUCCGGCUCUAGCAGCUCAGUCCUCACUCACUGAGAAAAUGGCAGUGGAGAUCCUCGAGUCGUGCAUGGUGACGCCAAGCGAGGCGACGCCGAAGCACGGGGUGUGGCUCUCCAACCUCGACCUGCUGGUCGCCAGGGGCCACACGCCCACCGUCUACAUCUACCGGCCAAGCUCCGGCCAUGCCUCCUUCUCGCCGGUCGUCCUCAAAGCCGCGCUGUCCAGGGCGCUCGUCCCAUUCUACCCACUUGCCGGCCGGCUCGCGCAGGAUGACGCCGGCCGCCCGGAGAUCAGCUGCAGCGGCGAAGGGGUCCUCUUCGUCACUGCGCGGGCGGACUCCACGCUCGACGUCCUCGGUGACUUCGCCCCGUCCGAGGAGCUGCGGCGGACGCUUGUCCCCUCGGCCGACGCCAGCGGCGUCGCCGGCAUCUUGGCUAUGUUUCAGGUGACGUUCUUCAAGUGCGGCGGGGUGUGCCUCGGGGCGGCCAUCCACCACACGGCGGCGGACGGCCUCGCAGCGCUCGAUUUCGUGAACGCCUGGGCAGCCAUCACGAGGGGCGACGUCGGCGUGCCCGCGGCGAGCCCCUGCCUCGACCGCACGCUCCUCCGCGUGCGCUCCCCUCCCUCCGUGCUCUUCGACCACGCCGAGUACUCCCGGCGCGGCGGCGGGGAGACGAAGCCCAGAGCAAGGUUUUGAGUCCCUUUCGGCUCCGCCAUCCUCCCCAUGUCCAAGAACCAGAUCGACGCGCUCAAAGGCGGCGCCGGCGAGGGCAAGAGGCUCUCCACGUUCAAGGCCGUGGUGGCCCACGUGUGGCGGUGCGCGUGCAAGGCGCGCUGGCUCGCGGCGACGGAGGACACCCGACUGUACAUGACGGCUGACGCGCGCACCCGCGUCCACCCACCGCUCCCUCGCGGCUACUUCGGCAACGCCAUCUUCCGCGCUUCGGCGGCGACCAAGGUCGGCGAGGUCGCCUCCGGGCCGCUGGACGCCGUCGCGGAGAAGGUCACCGGCUCGACCGCCCGGCUGGACGACGAGUACGUGCGGUCGCUGCUGGACGGUGCAGGCGCGGACGCGUCGGGGCUGCGCAAGGGGGAGUGGGUCAUGCCGGAGACCGACCUGUGGGUGAUAAGCUGGCAGGGGCUGCCGAUCUACGGCGCGGACUUCGGCUGGGGGCGGCCGGCGUUCAUGGGCAGGGCCUGCCUCCAGUUCAGCGGCCUCGUGUACCUCGUGCCUGGCCCUGACGACGACGGCCGGCUGGACGUGGUGGUGGCCAUGGAGCCCGAGAGCCUGGCCAGGUUCAGGGAGGUGUUCUACCAGGAGCUCAUGCACUACUAG